This 551-nucleotide ribosomal RNA is filed under the name uncultured bacterium. RNAcentral describes it as "bacterial SSU rRNA". It matches the Rfam family "Bacterial small subunit ribosomal RNA", at positions 355 to 896 of the family's 1533-position model. The record is from RNAcentral.
UAGGGAAUCUUCGGCAAUGGACGGAAGUCUGACCGAGCAACGCCGCGUGAGUGAAGAAGGUUUUCGGAUCGUAAAGCUCUGUUGUAAGAGAAGAACGAGUGUGAGAGUGGAAAGUUCACACUGUGACGGUAGCUUACCAGAAAGGGACGGCUAACUACGUGCCAGCAGCCGCGGGUAAUACGUAGGUCCCGAGCGUUGUCCGGAUUUAUUGGGCGUAAAGCGAGCGCAGGCGGUUUGAUAAGUCUGAAGUUAAAGGCUGUGGCUCAACCAUAGUUCGCUUUGGAAACUGUCAAACUUGAGUGCAGAAGGGGAGAGUGGAAUUCCAUGUGUAGCGGUGAAAUGCGUAGAUAUAUGGAGGAACACCGGUGGCGAAAGCGGCUCUCUGGUCUGUAACUGACGCUGAGGCUCAAAAGCGUGGGGAGCGAACAGGAUUAGAUACCCUGGUAGUCCACGCCGUAAACGAUGAGUGCUAGGUGUUGGAUCCUUUCCGGGAUUCAGUGCCGCAGCUAACGCAUUAAGCACUCCGCCUGGGGAGUACGACCGCAAGGUUG